AGUCUAUAGUGAGGACACAUUCUCAACAAAUCCUUAAAUCUCUCUCAUGUAUCAUAAAGUGUCUCAAUAUCAAAUUGAGCAAAAGCAUAGAUAUCAUUCCUCAAUUU
Molecule: small nucleolar RNA, 107 nt
Organism: Gossypium arboreum
Lineage: Eukaryota; Viridiplantae; Streptophyta; Magnoliopsida; Malvales; Malvaceae
Rfam family: Plant small nucleolar RNA R71
About the family: R71 is a member of the C/D box family of snoRNAs containing the C (UGAUGA) and D (CUGA) box motifs. Multiple nearly identical copies of this snoRNA have been identified in Arabidopsis, and it is thought to function as a 2'-O-ribose methylation guide for 18S ribosomal RNA.
Source: Rfam